Molecule: small nuclear RNA, 103 nt
Organism: Panthera leo (lion)
Lineage: Eukaryota; Metazoa; Chordata; Mammalia; Carnivora; Felidae
Source: Ensembl
UAAGCUUCAGAAAAAUAAAACAAAAUUGGAACGAUAUAGAGAACGUUAGCAUGGCCCCUGCAGAAGGGCGGCAUGCAAAUUCGGACAUAAAAGGCUCAGCGCU